Molecule: long non-coding RNA, 281 nt
Filed under: Rattus norvegicus (Norway rat)
Lineage: Eukaryota; Metazoa; Chordata; Mammalia; Rodentia; Muridae
Description: long non-coding RNA NONRATT021265
Source: RNAcentral
GUGAAGAAAGUGGUCAGAAAAUGUCUGGAGAAAGCUGCCUUGAUCAAUUACACUAGACUCACAGAAUAUGCCAAAAUUGAAGAGACCAUGAACCAGGCAACUCCUGCCAGGAAGCUGGAAGAGGUUCUUCAUCUCGCAGAGCUCUGCAUAGAAGUCCUACAGCAAAACGAGGAGCAUCAUGCUGAGGUGAUACAGGGUCUCCCAAUGAAUCCAGACCUCACAUAGUCAGGCUAGGCUGGAUGCCCAACAAAGUUCAGGGAGCUACUGCUUCCCAAUUGCAG